UGCCUUGUUCAAAAACAGGAAGGGCCAGAGUUCCACGUACAUCAUACAGUUGAGCAUGAUCUACCCGUGGAUAUUCAUCACUUCUAAAGAAUCGAACAUCAGGAGUCCACUCAGGAACCUUGCCCAAGAAAACCCGACCAGGAAGCCCCACCAUGUCCUUGGAAUCCUCCUCAGCUGAAAAUUGAUAGUUAACGGAUAUGUGUCUGUAAUUUGCCAGCCUUUGACAGUUGGGAACAAGGGCAAAACGUUGGUCAUGAGUUGUUAGAACACGCCUACCUCCUCUGUCUACAGGGACCCAUAUUUGAUAUCUUUAUCUUUUGUGAAAUCUUUAAUAUAUCCAAGUGCUCUAAUUAAUCUAUCCCUGACAGAAGUUUUGGGGCCUGGACUUGUUCUCGGUCCAAUCCACCAACUUUUGCUUGCUUCAGAAGCUUCAUUUCUAUUAUUUUCCAAUCUGUUGGCACUACGUAUGUCGUGGCCAUGAGCCUGAACAUUAACCAGACUUCUGCCACGGGCUUCAUUUGAGGAUGAAUUAGUGGGCAACAAUGAUGUAUGUUCAUCAUCUUGAUUGCUUCUCUGGGAUGUAGAGGAAGCCAAAUCAACAUUACUGAUCUCUGAAGUAGACC
This 623-nucleotide unclassified non-coding RNA is filed under the name Hevea brasiliensis (rubber tree). Lineage: Eukaryota; Viridiplantae; Streptophyta; Magnoliopsida; Malpighiales; Euphorbiaceae. The record is from RNAcentral.